RNAcentral lists this ribosomal RNA (253 nucleotides) under uncultured bacterium. Its description in RNAcentral is "partial 16S ribosomal RNA". It matches the Rfam family "Bacterial small subunit ribosomal RNA", at positions 524 to 776 of the family's 1533-position model. The record is from RNAcentral.
UACGGAGGGAGCUAGCGUUGUUCGGAAUUACUGGGCGUAAAGCGCACGUAGGCGGCUUUUUAAGUCAGGGGUGAAAUCCCGGGGCUCAACCCCGGAACUGCACUUGAAACUGGAGAGCUAGAAUCUUGGAGAGGCGAGUGGAAUUCCGAGUGUAGAGGUGAAAUUCGUAGAUAUUCGGAAGAACACCAGUGGCGAAGGCGACUCGCUGGACAAGUAUUGACGCUGAGGUGCGAAAGCGUGGGGAGCAAACAGG